Molecule: ribosomal RNA, 891 nt
Filed under: Triticum aestivum (bread wheat)
Lineage: Eukaryota; Viridiplantae; Streptophyta; Magnoliopsida; Poales; Poaceae
Description: partial small subunit ribosomal RNA
Source: RNAcentral
AUGGACGCCGCGGUGUCCCCCUCCCUCGCCGAGCUUUUUGUCUGCAGCGAAACGUGCGAGCAACGGCAACGUGGGAAACACCGGCCAGCCCAAACGUGCCGCUCCUUCCGGCGAGCCGGCACCCCCAACCAACCGCAACCGCCUCCUCCGCCCUAUAUGAACCCACGCUCCACCACGCGGCAGACACAUCCGCUCCAGGCCUCCAGCAAUACACCAUUCCAGCUCCACCACGCGGUCAACAGACGAAACAACACAUCCGGAUCCAAAACUCCCAGCCUCCCACAGCUCCGCCGCGGCUCAUCCCCGUCGAUCGACCUUGCGAUCGAUUCCGUUUCUUGCCGCGCGUGCGCGCACAGCACAUCCAUGGCUGUCGCCGGAGGAGGAGGAGGAAUGGCGCUGAGCCUGCGGGCGCCGUCGACCUCGGCGUCGCCGGCGGUGGGGCGGCUGCGUAGGGCGGCGUCGUCGCCGGCGGUGAGGUGCGGGGCGACGCGGGAAAGGUGGCCGGCGGCGGCCCCGUACAGGGUGCUGGAGGAGGACCACUACCGCACUCUGAGGCUGCAGCCGGGGGCAUCCAGGGGCGAGGUCAAGAAGGCCUUCCACCGCCUCGCGCUGCAGUACCACCCGGACGUCGUGCGCCAAGACGACGGCAUCGACUUCGAGCGGAUCAACGCGGCGUACCAGAAAGUGAUGAGCAACAUGCGGGAGGCGGAGGCGACGCUCGAGUACUGGCGCCGCCGCUACGGCCUCGCCGACGAGGACCUCGACCGCUACCGCCACUACCUCAACGAGGAGGACGAGGACGACUGGUUCUCCGACUUCAGAAGUCUCAAGGGCCGCGUGCACGGCCAACGGCCAUUCCUGGCAUGGCAGAGGCGGCAGCGCUGUAAAUAA